Epinephelus moara (kelp grouper) is the source of this 770-nucleotide long non-coding RNA. RefSeq lists it as uncharacterized. The transcript is spliced from 3 exons. The record is from RefSeq and is a predicted model, not a curated record. Lineage: Eukaryota; Metazoa; Chordata; Actinopteri; Perciformes; Serranidae.
CACUCCUCACUCCUCCACAGCUCCUGCCUCCCUUCCAAAUAUAGUCACUUCGGACUCCAACAAACCAAGAUGGUGAUGGCCAAAAUGCCAAACUCCUUCAGAACAGGAGUCCACAAACCAAUGGGUGAUAUCACGUGGUCUGCAGCUUGGCAGGUGUCUCGCCUUGGUGACAUCCAUGAUCUCUUUGACCUCCAGAUGACAAAUCUGCUGCUCUCCCUCACCUGCUCCUGGUAAAUUUCCACUCACCUGCACCCUGCUAGCCAGCCCCGCCUCCUCAUCAAGACAACCCCACUCACCUGUGCACACAGCUGCUCCUCAUCAGCACUCCCUGCAUAUAAGCAGCUGCUGCCUUUCCCUCACUGCCAGAUUGUGCUUCAACCUCAUGCAAGACAUUCCAGCACUCACUCUUGGCUUGAGUCCCCGGUACCAACCCUGCUUGUUCAUGACCUGUCUAUGUCGUCUGUCUCCUGGUAAACUCACCAGCCUUCUGUCCCUGACCACGAGUUCUGCCUCAGGGUCUCUGGUUUCCGUCUGCCUGUGUCUGUGUGGUGUUUUCCUGCCACAACUUUUUAAAGUGAGUGUUCCUACCUGCUGUCAGUUGCCUGCUGUGAGACACCACACACUGCCUUGUGUGUGUGUGUGUGUGUGUUCAUCUUUUACCUACCUGUCGACUCAUUCCCUGGACCCUGAACCCAGAGAAUGUGUAUGGGCUCUGUGCCCUGCUUGUGUUCCUAUUACCUUGUGUAUAAUAAAGGUUAUUACCAACUGUC